CAAUAGCGUAUAUUAACGUUGUUGCAGUUAAAAAGCUCGUAGUUGGAUUUCUGGAGGGAGCGUCGGCCCGUAUUUACGAGUGCGUGACGUCUCUGUCCAUCCUUGCGGGAAGUCACGGCAUUGAUUUGUUGUGUCGGAUCGCAUCAUUUACUGUGAAAAAAUUAGAGUGUUCAAAGCAGGCUUUCGCUUGAAUACAUUAGCAUGGAAUAAUAAGAUAGGACUUUGGUGCUAUUUUGUUGGUUGAGCCUAAAGUAAUGAUUAAUAGGGAUAGUUGGGGGCACCUGUAUUGCGUUGUCAGAGGUGAAAUUCUUGGAUUUACGCAAGACAAACAGCUGCGAAAGCGUCUGCCAAGGAUGUUUNCAUUAA
This 366-nucleotide ribosomal RNA is filed under the name uncultured eukaryote. Its description in RNAcentral is "partial 18S ribosomal RNA". It matches the Rfam family "Eukaryotic small subunit ribosomal RNA", at positions 592 to 976 of the family's 1831-position model. The record is from RNAcentral.